GAGUCCACGCGGAGAGCGAUGGGGGUUUGCACCUGGUCAAGUCAUUCCUCCUGAGAACGUCCUUCUGGAGCCCGGGUGUCUCCAGCUGGGUGUAGAACACGGGCGGUCCAGUCCGGGAAGACGUAUCUCUGUACCGCCUCGAGCCUGGUUCUGAGCAAGGCUCAACUCUCUCCCCUUUGGUCCCCAGGAGCUGAGACAUUUCGGAGAAGUCCAGGUGAAGAACAAAAUUCAGUUUCUGGAUACCAACGCGAGGGCCUCCCGGCUGACCCGCUGUGAGCGCACUCAGGUGGGCGGGCAGCCUGCCUCCCUGAUCGGGACUCCUCGUUAGCCAGGAUGUCAGCCCUGAGGUGCAGGCUGUGGGGGUCAGGGAUGUUGCCCACAUCCCACACCGCUCCUGGCUGGACCGCAAUGCCCCAAGGGAAAAGGCGUGGAAGAGCCCAAGAACCAGAGUCUGCAGCCCUGCUCCCCCUCUGCCCUUCAACGGGAGUGACCCUGAGCAAGCAGUGACUCUUCUCAGAGAUGCACCAAGCUGCCCAUCUGCAAACUGGGGAGCGCAUGUGUCCGGCCUGCCUCCUUCUAUGAACCCCGACGGAGUGAGCGCUCUGUGCCUGGUGCUGCAGAGAGAGAAAGCAGCCCUAGUGGAGGACACCAACCUUUCCAAAGCCUGUGUUGUAUUCGACCGUAGAAGAGAUUCAAAUGAUUGCUUCGGGUGAAAACGGGGGGGAAACGGUAAAAUCUACAUACGACACUGCUAUCCUGUCAAGUUUUUCUGGGGGGACGGGAUGAUUGGCAGCUAACGAGUGGUUAAGUGCUGAAAUCCACACUGGAGUUCAGAACGCUUGGCCUUCUCUUUUGGAAAAAGAAAUAUUUUAAAAGAAAAAAAAAGGAAAUAUUUUGAAUCCUGAAAAUUAAGUUUUUGUCUUCAGAGAUGGAAAGCUUGUGAGCUCGUACCCAACGUGAGGAUUCUGAAAUGCAACUUUUUUUAAACCUUCCAAACAUAAGUGUAACUUUUGGUUAAGAAACGACUCACGUUUAAAUGCGACCCUGAUCAGUGUAUAAGUGACUAGAAGGAUCCUUACUUAGUGGCUAGAGCAAUUCGUUGGAGAGUCUGUUGCUCACAGAAAUUUGGGCUUUGGCUAAUGGCUAAGCAAGUUA
Long non-coding RNA from Zalophus californianus (California sea lion), 1155 nucleotides. RefSeq lists it as uncharacterized. Lineage: Eukaryota; Metazoa; Chordata; Mammalia; Carnivora; Otariidae. The record is from RefSeq and is a predicted model, not a curated record. The transcript has 3 exons.